Heterocephalus glaber (naked mole-rat) is the source of this 84-nucleotide small nuclear RNA. Its record names the gene U2. It matches the Rfam family "U2 spliceosomal RNA". Rfam says of the family: U2 is a small nuclear RNA (snRNA) component of the spliceosome (involved in pre-mRNA splicing). The record is from Ensembl. NCBI's taxonomy places the organism in Eukaryota, Metazoa, Chordata, Mammalia, Rodentia, Bathyergidae.
AUGGCUUCUCAGUCUUUUGGCUAAGAUCAAGUGUAGUAUCUGUUCUUAUCAAUUUAACACUCUUUCUCAUUACCUGAAACUCUU